GCUCCCGUAGUUUAACGGAUAAAAUUUCAGAUUCCGGUUCUGAAGCUAUGGGUUCGAAUCCCGUCGGGAGCA
This 72-nucleotide transfer RNA is filed under the name Bacteroidales bacterium. Its description in RNAcentral is "tRNA-Arg". It matches the Rfam family "tRNA". Rfam says of the family: Transfer RNA (tRNA) molecules are approximately 80 nucleotides in length. Lineage: Bacteria; Pseudomonadati; Bacteroidota; Bacteroidia; Bacteroidales. The record is from RNAcentral.